RNAcentral lists this ribosomal RNA (478 nucleotides) under uncultured bacterium. RNAcentral describes it as "partial 16S ribosomal RNA". It matches the Rfam family "Bacterial small subunit ribosomal RNA", at positions 899 to 1397 of the family's 1533-position model. The record is from RNAcentral.
ACUCAAAGGAAUAGACGGGGACCCGCACAAGCAGCGGAGCGUGUGGUUUAAUUCGAUGCGACGCGAAGAACCUUACCAAGGCUUGACAUACACCUGCAACCCUCUGAAAGGAGGGCCUCUUCGGACAGGUGCACAGAUGCUGCAUGGCUGUCGUCAGCUCGUGUCGUGAGAUGUUGGGUUAAGUCCCGCAACGAGCGCAACCCUUGUCCUUAGUUGCAAAUCUAGGGAGACCGCCGGAAACAAACCGGAGGAAGGUGGGGAUGACGUCAAGUCAGCAUGGCUCUUACGUCUUGGGCUACACACACGCUACAAUGGUCGGUACAGUGAGAAGCCACCCAGCGAUGGGGAGCAGACCUCCAAAGCCGGCCCCAGUUCAGAUUGCACUCUGCAACCCGAGUGCAUGAAGUCGGAGUUGCUAGUAACCGCGUGUCAGCAUAGCGCGGUGAAUAUGUUCCCGGGUCUUGCACACACCGCCCGU